This 301-nucleotide ribosomal RNA is filed under the name uncultured bacterium. Its description in RNAcentral is "partial 16S ribosomal RNA". It matches the Rfam family "Bacterial small subunit ribosomal RNA", at positions 509 to 807 of the family's 1533-position model. The record is from RNAcentral.
CAGUCGCCGCGGGAAUACGUAGGGUGCGAGCGUUAAUCGGAAUUACUGGGCGUAAAGCGUGCGCAGGCGGUGCUGCAAGACCGAUGUGAAAGCCCCGGGCUUAACCUGGGAACUGCAUUGGUGACUGCAGCGCUGGAGUAUGGCAGAGGGGGGUGGAAUUCCACGUGUAGCAGUGAAAUGCGUAGAGAUGUGGAGGAACACCGAUGGCGAAGGCAGCCCCCUGGGCCAAUACUGACGCUCAUGCACGAAAGCGUGGGGAGCAAACAGGAUUAGAUACCCGAGUAGUCCCUGUCUCUUAUAC